Molecule: ribosomal RNA, 789 nt
Filed under: Bacillus subtilis
Lineage: Bacteria; Bacillati; Bacillota; Bacilli; Caryophanales; Bacillaceae
Description: bacterial SSU rRNA
Rfam family: Bacterial small subunit ribosomal RNA
Source: RNAcentral
UAACACGUGGGUAACCUGCCUGUAAGACUGGGAUAACUCCGGGAAACCGGGGCUAAUACCGGAUGGUUGUUUGAACCGCAUGGUUCAAACAUAAAAGGUGGCUUCGGCUACCACUUACAGAUGGACCCGCGGCGCAUUAGCUAGUUGGUGAGGUAACGGCUCACCAAGGCAACGAUGCGUAGCCGACCUGAGAGGGUGAUCGGCCACACUGGGACUGAGACACGGCCCAGACUCCUACGGGAGGCAGCAGUAGGGAAUCUUCCGCAAUGGACGAAAGUCUGACGGAGCAACGCCGCGUGAGUGAUGAAGGUUUUCGGAUCGUAAAGCUCUGUUGUUAGGGAAGAACAAGUACCGUUCGAAUAGGGCGGUACCUUGACGGUACCUAACCAGAAAGCCACGGCUAACUACGUGCCAGCAGCCGCGGUAAUACGUAGGUGGCAAGCGUUGUCCGGAAUUAUUGGGCGUAAAGGGCUCGCAGGCGGUUUCUUAAGUCUGAUGUGAAAGCCCCCGGCUCAACCGGGGAGGGUCAUUGGAAACUGGGGAACUUGAGUGCAGAAGAGGAGAGUGGAAUUCCACGUGUAGCGGUGAAAUGCGUAGAGAUGUGGAGGAACACCAGUGGCGAAGGCGACUCUCUGGUCUGUAACUGACGCUGAGGAGCGAAAGCGUGGGGAGCGAACAGGAUUAGAUACCCUGGUAGUCCACGCCGUAAACGAUGAGUGCUAAGUGUUAGGGGGUUUCCGCCCCUUAGUGCUGCAGCUAACGCAUUAAGCACUCCGCCUGGGGAGUACG